Molecule: ribosomal RNA, 245 nt
Filed under: uncultured bacterium
Lineage: Bacteria
Description: partial 16S ribosomal RNA
Rfam family: Bacterial small subunit ribosomal RNA
Source: RNAcentral
UACGUAGGUGGCGAGCGUUACUCGGAAUUACUAGGCGUAAAGCGUGUGUAGGCGGGAGGUUAAGUCUGCUGUUAAAUCUCACAGCCCAACUGUGAAAUGCCGGCAGAUACUGGCCUUCUUGAAUUCGGUAGAGGAAACUGGAAUUCCAGGUGUAGCGGUGAAAUGCGUAGAUAUCUGGAAGAACGCCAAAGGCGAAGGCAGGUUUCUGGGCCGCAAUUGACGCUGAGACACGAAAGCUAGGGGAG